UUUGCAGUUCAGUGGUAGAAUGCUUGCCUAGCAUUCAUGAAGCCCUGAGUUCAAUCCCCAGCACUGCAAAA
Molecule: transfer RNA, 71 nt
Filed under: Marmota monax (woodchuck)
Lineage: Eukaryota; Metazoa; Chordata; Mammalia; Rodentia; Sciuridae
Description: tRNA.Ala
Source: RNAcentral